RNAcentral lists this ribosomal RNA (188 nucleotides) under uncultured bacterium. Its description in RNAcentral is "partial 16S ribosomal RNA". It matches the Rfam family "Bacterial small subunit ribosomal RNA", at positions 1313 to 1500 of the family's 1533-position model. The record is from RNAcentral.
CGACCACACGAAGCUGGAAUCGCUAGUAAUCGCGAAUCAGAAUGUCGCGGUGAAUACGUUCCCGGGUCUUGUACACACCGCCCGUCACACCAUGGGAGUCAGCAACGCCCGAAGUCAGUGACCUAACCGAAAGGGAGGAGCUGCCGAAGGCGGGGCCGGUAACUGGGGUGAAGUCGUAACAAGGUAGC